Vicia faba (fava bean) is the source of this 309-nucleotide non-coding RNA. Lineage: Eukaryota; Viridiplantae; Streptophyta; Magnoliopsida; Fabales; Fabaceae. The record is from the annotation of a GenBank genome assembly.
AAAUCUCCAAACUUUGACACAAAAUUAGAAUCUUUAAGAUCAAAUCCCUCAUCAAAAGAAAAUGAAGCAGAAGACAAAAGCACUUGUGAUUGGAUUAAUUGGUGCAGCUUUUACUUUACUUGCUUACUCACAAACCUUCGUAUCACCAACUCAAAGCAUCACAAUUGGACUCCUUAUUCUCAUGUUGGGAUUCCUAGUAGGAGAAGGUUUCAUAUCUCUUUGAUUCAUCAUGCUUUUCUUUUUCUCCUUCAAUUUCCACCUUCAUCUAUAUCCAUGAAUUUUACAUGUUUGUGUGUAAUAACUCUUUAA